UACGUAGGGUGCGAGCGUUAAUCGGAAUUACUGGGCGUAAAGCGUGCGCAGGCGGUUUUGUAAGCCAGAUGUGAAAUCCCCGGGCUUAACCUGGGAAUGGCAUUUGGGACUGCAAGGCUGGAGUGUGGCAGAGGAGACUGGAAUUCCCGGUGUAGCAGUGAAAUGCGUAGAUAUCGGGAGGAAUACCGAUGGCGAAGGCGGGUCUCUGGACAGUUCCUGACACUGAGGCACGAAGGCCAGGGGAGCAAACGGG
RNAcentral lists this ribosomal RNA (253 nucleotides) under uncultured bacterium. Its description in RNAcentral is "partial 16S ribosomal RNA". It matches the Rfam family "Bacterial small subunit ribosomal RNA", at positions 524 to 776 of the family's 1533-position model. The record is from RNAcentral.